Molecule: ribosomal RNA, 450 nt
Filed under: uncultured bacterium
Lineage: Bacteria
Description: partial 16S ribosomal RNA
Rfam family: Bacterial small subunit ribosomal RNA
Source: RNAcentral
CCUACGGGUGGCUGCAGUAAGGAAUAUUGGUCAAUGGACGGAAGUCUGAACCAGCCAUCCCGCGUGCAGGAAGAAGGUCCUAUGGAUUGUAAACUGCUUUUAGCAGAGACGAAACGCCUUCAUUUAUGGGGGUUUGACGGUAUCUGCGGAAUAAGCACCGGCUAACUCCGUGCCAGCAGCCGCGGUAAUACGGAGUGUGCAAGCGUCAUCCGGAAUCACUGGUGUUAAAGGGUGCGUAGGCGGGGGUGGAGAAAUCCUGUAGCUUAACUACAGAAUUGCCAAUGAUACUGAUUUUCUUGAAUUGGGUUGAGGUUAGCGGAAUGUGACAUGUAACGGUGAAAUGUUUAGAUAUGUCAUGGAACACCGAUUGCGAAGGCAGCUAGCUGGGCCUUGAUUGACGCUGAGGCACGAAAGCGUGGGUAGCGAACAGGAUUAGAUACCCGAGUAGUC